RNAcentral lists this ribosomal RNA (253 nucleotides) under uncultured bacterium. RNAcentral's name for it is "partial 16S ribosomal RNA". It matches the Rfam family "Bacterial small subunit ribosomal RNA", at positions 524 to 776 of the family's 1533-position model. The record is from RNAcentral.
UACGGAGGGUGCGAGCGUUAAUCGGAAUUACUGGACGUAAAGCGUGCGCAGGCGGCUUUGCAAGACAGAUGUGAAAUCCCCGAGCUCAACCUGGGAACUGCAUUUGUGACUGCAAGGCUAGAGUACGGCAGAGGGGGAUGGAAUUCCGCGUGUAGCAGUGAAAUGCGUAGAUAUGCGGAGGAACACCAAUGGCGAAGGCAAUCCCCUGGGCCUGUACUGACGCUCAUGCACGAAAGCGUGGGGAGCAAACAGG